This 460-nucleotide ribosomal RNA is filed under the name uncultured bacterium. Its description in RNAcentral is "partial 16S ribosomal RNA". It matches the Rfam family "Bacterial small subunit ribosomal RNA", at positions 338 to 795 of the family's 1533-position model. The record is from RNAcentral.
CCUACGGGAGGCAGCAGUGAGGAAUAUUGGUCAAUGGACGCAAGUCUGAACCAGCCAUGCCGCGUGCAGGAAGACGGCGCUAUGAGUUGUAAACUGCUUUUGUACGAGGGUAAACGCAGAUACGCGUAUCUGUCUGAAAGUAUCUUACGAAUAAGGAUUGGCUAACUCCGUGCCAGCAGCCGCGGUAAUACGGAGGAUUCAAGCGUUAUCCGGAUUUAUUGGGUUUAAAGGGUGCGUAGGCGGUCGGAUAAGUUAGAGGUGAAAUCCCGAGGCUCAACUUCGGAAUUGCCUCUGAUACUGUCCGGCUAGAGAGUAGUUGAGGUAGGCGGAAUGUAUGGUGUAGCGGUGAAAUGCUUAGAGAUCGUACAGAACACCGAUUGCGAAGGCAGCUUACCAAGCUACUUCUGACGUUGAGGCACGAAAGCGUGGGGAGCAAACAGGAUUAGAUACCCCAGUAGUC